AAAACAGAUCACCCCUAUUGUAUGGAAAAUUACACUGACGUCCCGUUUUAUUCGUCUCCAAUGGUAACCCUUACUUUUCCAAAUAGGCGAGGGUGGUGUAAUUUCUGAUAUUAUAGGGGUGUUUUGUAUUUUCAACAAACUACAAGGGUGGUCGUGUAACUUACCCUUAUUUCGUUUAAGCUAGUUGUCUUAGAAAUUAGGGUAGUCCAAUUCUUGUGCUUCUUUUUGCUACCUCCACUAAAUUUUAUUUUCCUUUGGUAUUUCAAAGGAAACGAAGAUUUAG
Molecule: long non-coding RNA, 283 nt
Filed under: Actinidia chinensis (golden kiwifruit)
Lineage: Eukaryota; Viridiplantae; Streptophyta; Magnoliopsida; Ericales; Actinidiaceae
Description: long non-coding RNA (ACHI_LNC005017)
Source: RNAcentral